UACAGAGGUGCCAAGCGUUGUUCGGAUUUAUUGGGCGUAAAGGGUGCGUAGGCGGUUGCGCAAGUCGGAUGUGAAAUACCGGGGCCUAACUCCGGAACGGCAUUCGAAACUGCGCGGCUCGAGGUCUGGAGAGGUGACUGGAAUUCUCGGUGUAGCAGUGAAAUGCGUAGAUAUCGAGAGGAACACCAGAGGCGAAAGCGGGUCACUGGACAGAACCUGACGCUGAGGCACGAAAGCCAGGGGAGCAAACGGG
This 253-nucleotide ribosomal RNA is filed under the name uncultured bacterium. RNAcentral's name for it is "partial 16S ribosomal RNA". It matches the Rfam family "Bacterial small subunit ribosomal RNA", at positions 524 to 776 of the family's 1533-position model. The record is from RNAcentral.